This 468-nucleotide ribosomal RNA is filed under the name uncultured bacterium. RNAcentral's name for it is "partial 16S ribosomal RNA". It matches the Rfam family "Bacterial small subunit ribosomal RNA", at positions 28 to 507 of the family's 1533-position model. The record is from RNAcentral.
GACGAACGCUGGCGGCGUGCUUAACACAUGCAAGUCGAACGGAAAGGCCCUGCUUUUGUGGGGUGCUCGAGUGGCGAACGGGUGAGUAAUACGUGGGUAACCUGCCCUUGACUUUGGGAUAACUUCAGGAAACUGGGGCUAAUACCGGAUAGGAGCUCCUGCUGCAUGGUGGGGGUUGGAAAGUUUCGGCGGUUGGGGAUGGACUCGCGGCUUAUCAGCUUGUUGGUGGGGUAGUGGCUUACCAAGGCUUUGACGGGUAGCCGGCCUGAGAGGGUGACCGGCCACAUUGGGACUGAGAUACGGCCCAGACUCCUACGGGAGGCAGCAGUGGGGAAUAUUGCACAAUGGGCGGAAGCCUGAUGCAGCAACGCCGCGUGCGGGAUGACGGCCUUCGGGUUGUAAACCGCUUUCGCCUGUGACGAAGCGUGAGUGACGGUAAUGGGUAAAGAAGCACCGGCUAACUACGUG